GGCUUAAUGGGUUUUCAAGGGGGUCGGGGACAUGAUGGGACCCCUGGAUCAACGGGGUCUCCCGGAAGAAAUGGAAUCAAUGGACAGCCAGGUUUUCCAGGGCUGCCGGGUUUCCCUGGCAAGCCUGGCCCAGA
Molecule: long non-coding RNA, 134 nt
Organism: Sceloporus undulatus (fence lizard)
Lineage: Eukaryota; Metazoa; Chordata; Lepidosauria; Squamata; Phrynosomatidae
Exons: 3
Source: RefSeq, a predicted model, not a curated record